UGGGCGACCUACCUAAUUGUGGGGGAUAGCCGGCCCAACGGCCGGGUAAUACCGCAUACGAUCGGAGAGGGGCAUCCCUUUCUGAGGAAAGCCUUCGGGCGCAAUUUGAGGGGCUCGCGGCCUAUCAGCUAGUUGGCGGGGUAACGGCCCACCAAGGCGACGACGGGUAGCCGGCCUGAGAGGGUGACCGGCCACACUGGGACUGAGACACGGCCCAGACUCCUACGGGAGGCAG
This 235-nucleotide ribosomal RNA is filed under the name uncultured bacterium. RNAcentral's name for it is "partial 16S ribosomal RNA". It matches the Rfam family "Bacterial small subunit ribosomal RNA", at positions 118 to 351 of the family's 1533-position model. The record is from RNAcentral.